Molecule: ribosomal RNA, 26 nt
Filed under: Bicolorizea semifulva
Lineage: Eukaryota; Metazoa; Arthropoda; Insecta; Coleoptera; Chrysomelidae
Also listed under: 6 other names
Description: partial 28S ribosomal RNA
Source: RNAcentral
UCGACCUCAGAGCAGGUGAGAUUACC